This is a non-coding RNA of Salmo salar (Atlantic salmon), 54 nucleotides long. NCBI's taxonomy places the organism in Eukaryota, Metazoa, Chordata, Actinopteri, Salmoniformes, Salmonidae. The record is from Rfam.
UGCACUCACUACUGUAAGUUGCUCUGGAUAAGAGCAUUUGCUAAACGGCAGAAA